UCUUAUCAGUGGCUACUGCACGCCGUCAAAUAAUGCGCUAAUCUUCAAGUGAGAGCAAGCAUUAUGUCUCGCCUGUGUGGACUCCUCUUGGUUGUCUUAAUUGUUGGCCCCGUGGUGUGUCAGCUCGUCAUGCCCUGGCAGAUGUGUGAGAUGCAGUGUCUUAAAGACAACAACGCCACCUGGCCCUACCAUGCCGCGCCGGAAAUAAACGAACAUUGCCGAACCUACUGCAGAGACCACUGGAAGGACAUGUUUUACAACACCACACUUACGGGCUGACAGAAGGAAGCAAACGUCUGUAAUAUGACACUGCAGUGUUAAUAAACCCAACGUUUAUAGUACGAUGCA
Haliotis rufescens (red abalone) is the source of this 348-nucleotide long non-coding RNA. RefSeq lists it as uncharacterized. Lineage: Eukaryota; Metazoa; Mollusca; Gastropoda; Lepetellida; Haliotidae. The transcript has 3 exons. The record is from RefSeq and is a predicted model, not a curated record.